This 1224-nucleotide long non-coding RNA is filed under the name Heterocephalus glaber (naked mole-rat). RNAcentral describes it as "lncRNA (ENSHGLG00000045958.1)". The record is from RNAcentral. Lineage: Eukaryota; Metazoa; Chordata; Mammalia; Rodentia; Bathyergidae.
CAACAAACUCCAUUAAUGAUUAUUAAUUAUCCAUUAACCCUACCGUGCUAAUGAAAACCCGUAUUGUAAAGAUGAAAGCUGACCAGUGUGCAGUCUUUUCUGUCAUGUUCUGCGUUUUGUACUAUGUGUGUGAUCUGUCUUCAGUAUGCAAAUUCAAAAGACCACUAAGAGAGAUACAAGUGGUGGAUUUCAGAGAACUUCCUGAACCAUUGAAAAGCAGGAGAAAGUACGCUUCUGUAAUCCUGUCACAUCUGUUCUAAAGGAUUCCAGGGACUCUGACCUGCGACUCAAAAAACUGACAUCACAAGGCACCAAACUUCCCCGAAAGCUGAGGAAAAAUAAGCACCUUCAAGAAGAGAAAAGACAAAAGCACUGACCUUGUGGCAAAGCACAGGAGGAAGGGAAAGCUACUAUGCAAGUAAGCAAGAAGGAUCCAGGAAGAGAGAGAGGAAUGUAAGAGAAGACAGUCACUAUGUUGAAGAGAAGUUUAGAGGACUGCCCAGAGUAAAGAAAUCCCCUUCCAAGUGUUUCUCCUGCAGCCUUGGCAAAAAUAUACACAUCAGGGAUACAGACUUCUUCAAUGACUUGUUUACUUGGAAGAAUGUUUAAGCCAAGCACAGUGGGAUCGAACUCGGGACCUUGUGCCUGCAAGGCAGGCGGUGGAACCACUGAGCUAAAUCCCCAGCCCUCAUAAGUGGGCUUUUAAGAAGUGAUUGGAUAAUGGUGGCAUGAUACUCGUCAGUGGAUUAGUCUACUGUGAUUUCUAAAACCAUGGAAUUCCAUGGAAUCAUCUUGGGAGAGAGUGUUGCCUGAGAAAAAAAGAGAGCCAAUGAUUAUGUCCUGGAAAGAUCUCAGCUUUUAGGGGUUAAGCAGAAGAGGAGGAGUAGGUAAAGGAGGCUGAGCAAUGAACACUGGAGGACCAAAAAGAAAAGUUUUUUGGACGGGACGAUGUGUUUCGAUUUUCUGUUCUGCCGUCCAGUCUGAAGUGGGGGCAGCAACAGGAAAAGAACCUGUGGUUAUCUUCCCAUCCCGGCUAAGUCAGGUCCUGGACCGUCCAAAGUUGGACUUUGGCACUUUCCCUCUCAGCAACAUUCGAAAGGCUCCCUCGAAGAAUACGAUUUUGUGCUUAAGAGGAAGAGCGCUGGGAGAUGAGCGAGGGGGCGAGCGAGCCGGAAAGAGGAGCGCGGAGAGCGCGGCCGCCCCGCCGUCGGAGGCGCACAGAGC